AGGGAAUGUUUGCUGUUUGCCUCAUAGCAGAAUUGCAUGUAGAGGGAGCCAGGGAAUACACAGCUCUGACACAGAUAGGUGUGUAAAGAAGUCUAUCCCUCCUGAGAGAAGAAUGGACUCUAUCAAGAUUCCUGUUGUCACAGAAGCAUUCCUUUGGAGACAGAUGAGUCUAUGACAUUAUCAACCGUGGACCUACUGUGACCUGUGGGCCAAAGGAAGAGGGCUGGUUCCCCUGAGGUGACUGUCAAUGAUGUAGGCCAGGUGAACGACCCCAAGGACCCCUGGAGAAGCCCAGUGGAGGACCCUCAGGGUCAGCCUCCACCCCCGCCCAGAGCCCCUUCCCUGCCUGGGCCACAUCAGCAAGACAUGUCCCCCCACACCCCUGAUCGCCUGAUGAAAGGCCCCUACCCUGACAAUCUCAGGUUACACCCCUACAGAGAAAAGGCUCAGUGGACUGAGGAUGAGGACUUCUCUUUAUCUGGGCUUCUCCAGCGGGAAGUGGAGGGCUUCGCUGGUCCUCCUAGCUGGCCACGACCUUGGGACUGUUGCCUUAAAAGGAGCAGAACACGUAGAAGCCCCUCUUCCUCUCACAUCUGACUUAAACAACAUCCACUACUGUGUCCCUCCAAGUCACCAAGCACACAUGCCUCCUCAGUGACUCCCACAGCUCAAACAGACUAUAUGGACAAGAAGAUCUAAAAGCCUCCAGCCUAAAUCUUACUUAGUGUGUCGCCCCUCCCAGACAGGUGAUGAGGGAGGUCAGUGUGGUGCCCUCCUACCCGGGGACCCCUGGCCAACCAGGUGGGGGAUGAACAGCUACACAGGAACUGAGGAAGACCAUCAGUCUAUCUGAGGAGUGCAGUAAUUAUGUAUCAAUGUCCAUCCCUCAGCAAAACCAAGAUCAUUCAUUUUUAGACAUUAAAGAUGAUUGUUCAUUAAACAGUGGACUUUCGGUGAAUCAGAAGUGAUUGAGUCACCCUAAGAAUUCAAUAUUAGGACUUAAAACCACAAAUAUGUACAGUAAAUAUUUGCCUGAGCACAAUUAGCUUCCAUGUGGUACAAUGCUUUGUUUGAUCGCAGGAAAUGUGUUCAUUACAUAUUCUGUGGACACAGCCAGUGAGUUCUUUACCUUUGUGAAGUGUCUGACAGAUCAGGGCUUUAAACCAGCUGUACGUUUUCCAUUUGAUUUCAUUCACCCACUCUUUGAAAUUUCUAUUCAAACAUACUUCCUCUCUCUGGCAGACUGACAUCUUUGAUAGCACGGUUAGAAGAAUGGACAUCAACAAGUGGAUGGACAGCUAUUUAAAGGAUAAGUCAGUGCUGAUCAUCGUGGUCAUCAGUCCCAAGUACAAGGCAGACGUGGAAAGAGAUGGAGAGGAUGAGCAUGGUCUCCACACAAAGUUCAGAUCCAGAAUGAGUUCAUCCAACAGCGCUGCCUUCAUUUAAAACUGGUACCGGUAUUGUUUCCCACCUCUACGAAGAGAUAUGUUCCUGCCUGGCUUCAGAGCACCAGGAUACACCACUGGCCCCAGGAUACCCAAGACCUACUUCUCCGUCUGCUAUUAGAGGAACGCUACAUUGGCCCCCCUCUGGGGAAAGAGCUGACCCUCUCCGUACGACACCUCUGACAUCUCUGAGAACUGCUGAAGACACAUUAUGUUGUGGUGCUUCAUAGAUUUCAAUGUUUAUAUGGAAAUUUAGUCAAUGCUUUUUUUUUUUUUUUACUAAACUGAAAUGGUGUGGGAGUAGUGGUGUAUCUCAGCACUACUCUCAAAUAGCCACAAGGUAGCAGUAUUUACUUUCUGGUGUUUCAAGUCCUAGACAUUUGCUUGCUAAGGUGAUAACGGGUUACUCCUGACAUUGUGUGGCGACUGUGGUCCUAAUAAUAUGUGAUCUGAAGAUGUAUUCUAUUAAUAAAUUAAAGUAAUAAGA
Long non-coding RNA from Oncorhynchus tshawytscha (Chinook salmon), 1932 nucleotides. RefSeq lists it as uncharacterized. The record is from RefSeq and is a predicted model, not a curated record. The transcript is spliced from 7 exons. Lineage: Eukaryota; Metazoa; Chordata; Actinopteri; Salmoniformes; Salmonidae.